Molecule: ribosomal RNA, 497 nt
Filed under: uncultured bacterium
Lineage: Bacteria
Description: partial 16S ribosomal RNA
Rfam family: Bacterial small subunit ribosomal RNA
Source: RNAcentral
GAUGAACGCUGGCGGCGUGCCUAAUACAUGCAAGUCGAGCGAACGGACGAGAAGCUUGCUUCUCUGAUGUUAGCGGCGGACGGGUGAGUAACACGUGGAUAACCUACCUAUAAGACUGGGAUAACUUCGGGAAACCGGAGCUAAUACCGGAUGAUAUUUUGAACCGCAUGGUUCAAAAGUGAAAGACGGUCUUGCUGUCACUUAUAGAUGGAUCCGCGCUGCAUUAGCUAGUUGGUAAGGUAACGGCUUACCAAGGCAACGAUGCAUAGCCGACCUGAGAGGGUGAUCGGCCACACUGGAACUGAGACACGGUCCAGACUCCUACGGGAGGCAGCAGUAGGGAAUCUUCCGCAAUGGGCGAAAGCCUGACGGAGCAACGCCGCGUGAGUGAUGAAGGUCUUCGGAUCGUAAAACCCUGUUAUUAGGGAAGAACAAAUGUGUAAGUAACUAUGCACGUCUUGACGGUACCUAAUCAGAAAGCCACGGCUAACUACGUG